GGCCGAUUAGGUUGUUGUUGAUGUAAUGGAUCAACAAGCCUCCGAUCGGUAUGGGUUGUGAGAGCAAUAUCCCAGAGAUGGGUUCUGAGAGAAGAACCCAGGUCCUACGGGACGCAUCAGGCGCGAAAACUUUACAAUGUGCGAAAGCACGAUAAGGGAACUCUGAGUGCCUCCAAAGGAGGCUGUUCAGGUGUCUAAAAAGCAUCUGAAGUAAGGGCUGGGCAAGACCGGUGCCAGCCGCCGCGGUAACACCGGCAGCCCAAGUGGUGGCCACUUUUACUGGGUCUAAAGCGUUCGUAGCCGGCCAUGUAAGUUCCUUGGGAAAUUUGACCGCUUAACGGUUAAGCUUCCAGGGAAUACUGCUUGGCUUGGGACCGGGAGAGGUCAGAGGUACCUCAAGGGUAGGGGUGAAAUCCGUUAAUCCUUGGGGGACCGCCAGUAGCGAAGGCGUCUGACCAGACCGGAUCCGACGGUGAGGGACGAAGGCUAGGGUAGCGAACCGGAUUAGAUACCCGGGUAGUCCUAGCUGUAAACGAUGCGGGCUAGGUGUUGGCAUUACUGCGAGUGAUGCCAGUGCCGAAGGGAAGCCGUUAAGCCCGCCAUCUGGGGAGUACGGUCGCAAGGCUGAAAC
RNAcentral lists this ribosomal RNA (631 nucleotides) under uncultured archaeon. RNAcentral's name for it is "bacterial SSU rRNA". It matches the Rfam family "Archaeal small subunit ribosomal RNA", at positions 219 to 855 of the family's 1478-position model. The record is from RNAcentral.